UACGGAAGGCAGCAGUGGGGAAUAUUGCACAAUGGGCGCAAGCCUGAUGCAGCCAUGCCGCGUGUAUGAAAAAGGCCUUCGGGUUGUAAAGUACUUUCAGUCGUGAGGAAGGUGUUAAGGUUAAUAACCUUAGCAAUUGACGUUAGCGACAGAAGAAGCACCGGCUAACUCCGUGCCAGCAGCCGCGGUAAUACGGAGGGUGCGAGCGUUAAUCGGAAUUACUGGGCGUAAAGGGCACGCAGGCGGUUAAUUAAGUUGGAUGUGAAAUCCCCGGGCUUAACCUGGGAAUGGCAUUCAAGACUGGUUAGCUAGAGUCUUGUAGAGGGGGUUAGAAUUCCAUGUGUAGCGGUGAAGUGCGUAGAGAUGUGGAGGAAUACCGGUGGCGAAGGCGGCCCCUGGACAAAGACUGACGCUCAUGUGCGAAAGCGUGGGGAGCAAACAGGGAUUAGAUACC
This 454-nucleotide ribosomal RNA is filed under the name uncultured bacterium. RNAcentral's name for it is "bacterial SSU rRNA". It matches the Rfam family "Bacterial small subunit ribosomal RNA", at positions 340 to 786 of the family's 1533-position model. The record is from RNAcentral.